UGGCUACCACAUCCAAGGAUGGCAGCAGGCGCGCAAAUUACCCACUCUCAGUACGAGGAGGUAGUGACGAAAAAUAACAAUGCGGGACUCAUCAGAGGCCUCGCAAUUGGAAUGAGCGCACUUUAAAUCGUUCGACGAGGAUCUAUUGGAGGGCAAGUCUGGUGCCAGCAGCCGCGGUAAUUCCAGCUCCAAUAGCGUAUAUUAAAGUUGUUGCAGUUAAAAAGCUCGUAGUUGGAUCUGGGGUUCGGGUCGGCGGUUUGCCGCUUCGGCGGCUACUGCCGUGCUCGACUCUUACUAGCCGGUGCGUCUUGCGGUGCUCUUCAUCGAGUGCCGUAGGAGCCUGGCAUGUUUACUUUGAAAAAAUUAGAGUGCUCAAAGCAGGCGAUUCCGCCUGAAUAGUGUUGCAUGGAAUAAUGGAAUAGGACCUCGGUUCUAUUUUGUUGGUUUUCGGAACUUGAGGUAAUGAUUAAGAGGGACGGUCGGGGGCAUUCGUAUUUCGGUGUUAGAGGUGAAAUUCUUGGAUCGCUGAAAGACGGACAAAUGCGAAAGCAUCUGCCAAGAACGUCUCCAUUAAUCAAGAACGAAAGUCAGAGGUUCGAAGACGAUCAGACACCGUCCUAGUUCUGACCAUAAACGAUGCCAACUAGCGAUCCGCAGUGGUUGCUAUAAACGGACUCUGCGAGCAGCUUCCGGGAAACCAAAGUGUUUGGGUUCCGGGGGAAGUAUGGUUGCAAAGCUGAAACUUAAAGGAAUUGACGGAAGGGCACCACCAGGAGUGGAGCCUGCGGCUUAAUUUGACCCAACACGGGGAAACUCACCCGGUCCGGACACUGUAAGGAUUGACAGAUCGAGAGCUCUUUCUUGAUUCGGUGGAUGGUGGUGCAUGGCCGUUCUUAGUUGGUGGAGUGAUUUGUCUGGUUAAUUCCGAUAACGAACGAGACUCUAGCCUGCUAACUAGUUGCGCCGUGUUCAUACGCGGCUGUAGACUUCUUAGAGGGACAGGUGGCGUUUAGCCACACGAAAUUGAGCAAUAACAGGCCUGUGAUGCCCUUAGAUGUCCGGGGCCGCACGCGCGCUACACUGAAGGAGUCAGCGUGUGCUAUCCGGGCUCGGAAGAGUUCGGUAACCCGUUGAAACUCCUUCGUGCUUGGGAUUGUGGCUUGUAAUUAUCGCGCAUGAACGAGGAAUUCCCAGUAAGUGCAAGUCAUCAGCUUGCGCUGACUACGUCCCUGCCCUUUGUACACACCGCCCGUCGCUACUACCGAUUGAAUGGUUUAGCAAGGUACUCGGAUUGGUCUCGAUCUUGUACGAAAGUGCGGGAUCUGUGGCCGAGAAGAAGGCCAAACUUGAUCAUUUAGAGGAAGUAAAAGUCGUAACAAGGUU
RNAcentral lists this ribosomal RNA (1383 nucleotides) under metagenome. Its description in RNAcentral is "SSU rRNA". It matches the Rfam family "Eukaryotic small subunit ribosomal RNA", at positions 404 to 1801 of the family's 1831-position model. The record is from RNAcentral.